ACGGAGGGUGCAAGCGUUAAUCGGAAUUACUGGGCGUAAAGCGCACGUAGGCGGUAUGUUAAGUUGGAUGUGAAAGCCCCGGGCUCAACCUGGGAAUUGCAUUCAAAACUGGCAUGCUAGAGUAUGUGAGAGGGGGGUAGAAUUCCAAGUGUAGCGGUGAAAUGCGUAGAGAUUUGGAGGAAUACCAGUGGCGAAGGCGGCCCCCUGGCACAAUACUGACGCUGAGGUGCGAAAGCGUGGGGAGCAAACAGG
RNAcentral lists this ribosomal RNA (252 nucleotides) under uncultured bacterium. RNAcentral describes it as "partial 16S ribosomal RNA". It matches the Rfam family "Bacterial small subunit ribosomal RNA", at positions 525 to 776 of the family's 1533-position model. The record is from RNAcentral.